This 439-nucleotide ribosomal RNA is filed under the name uncultured bacterium. RNAcentral describes it as "partial 16S ribosomal RNA". It matches the Rfam family "Bacterial small subunit ribosomal RNA", at positions 339 to 795 of the family's 1533-position model. The record is from RNAcentral.
CUACGGGUUGCUCCAGUGAGGAAUAUUGCACAAUGGAGGAAACUCUGAUGCAGCAACGCCGCGUGGAGGAUGACGCAUUUCGGUGUGUAAACUCCUUUUAUAUGUCAAGAAAAUGACGGUAGCAUAUGAAUAAGCACCGGCUAACUCCGUGCCAGCAGCCGCGGUAAUACGGAGGGUGCAAGCGUUGCUCGGAAUCACUGGGCGUAAAGGACGCGUAGGCGGGUUGGAAAGUCAGGUGGGAAAUCCUACAGCUUAACUGUAGAACUGCACUUGAAACUUCUAAUCUAGAGUAUGGGAGGGGGAGAUGGAAUUAGUGGUGUAGGGGUAAAAUCCGUAGAUAUCACUAGGAAUACCUAAAGCGAAGGCGAUCUCCUGGAACAUUACUGACGCUAAGGCGUGAAAGCGUGGGGAGCAAACAGGAUUAGAUACCCUCGUAGUC